GAACUUAAGCAUAUCAAUAAGCGGAGGAAAAGAAACUAACAAGGAUUCCCUCAGUAACUGCGAGUGAAGUGGGAAAAGCUCAAAUUUGAAAUCUGGCAGCUCUUUCAGGUUGUCCGAGUUGUAAUCUAGAGAAGCGUUACCUGUGUUGGACCGUGUAAAAGUCUUCUGGAAUGGAGCAUCAUAGAGGGUGAGAAUCCCGUCUUUGACAUGGACUACCAGCAUGCCAAGGUGCACUCUCAAAGAGUCGAGUUGUUUGGGAAUGCAGCUCAAAAUGGGUGGUAAAUGCCAUCUAAAGCUAAAUAUUGGCGAGAGACCGAUAGCGAACAAGUACCGUGAGGGAAAGAUGAAAAGAACUUUGGAAAGAGAGUUAAACAGUACGUGAAAUUGCUGAAAGGGAAACGCUUAAAGUCAGUCGCAUUAGCUGGAAAUCAGGCUUGCUUUUGCAAGGUGCACUUUCUAGUUGAUGGGUCAGCAUCAAUUUUAAUCGUUGGAUAAAGUCAUUGGGAAUGUGGCAUCUUUGGAUGUGUUAUAGCCCAGUGUUGAAUACAGCGGUCAGGAUUGAGGAAUUCAGCAUGCCUCUAGGGGCCAGGUUUCGACCAUGUUCAUGCUUAGGAUGCUGGCAUAAUGGCUUUAAUCGACCCGUCUUGAAACACGGACCAAGGAGUCUAACAUGCCUGCGAGUGUUUGGGUGAAAAACCCAUACGCACAAUGAAAGUGAAAGUUGAGAUCCUUAGGGAGCAUUGACGCCCGGACCAGACCUUCUGUGACGGAUCCGCGGUAGAGCAUGUAUGUUGGGACCCGAAA
This 804-nucleotide ribosomal RNA is filed under the name uncultured fungus. RNAcentral describes it as "eukaryotic LSU rRNA". It matches the Rfam family "Eukaryotic large subunit ribosomal RNA", at positions 30 to 821 of the family's 3401-position model. Lineage: Eukaryota; Fungi. The record is from RNAcentral.